Molecule: unclassified non-coding RNA, 315 nt
Filed under: plant metagenome
Description: partial contains 5.8S ribosomal RNA, internal transcribed spacer 2, and large subunit ribosomal RNA
Rfam family: 5.8S ribosomal RNA (bases 1-105)
Source: RNAcentral
GAAAUGCGAUAAGUAGUGUGAAUUGCAGAAUUCAGUGAAUCAUCGAAUCUUUGAACGCACAUUGCGCCCGCCAGUAUUCUGGCGGGCAUGCCUGUUCGAGCGUCAUUUCAACCCUCAAGCCCCCGGGUUUGGUGUUGGGGAUCGGGCUGCGGUUCUACCGCGUCCCGGCCCCGAAAUCUAGUGGCGGUCUCGCUGCAGCCUCCAUUGCGUAGUAGCUAACACCUCGCAACUGGAACGCGGCGCGGCCAAGCCGUUAAACCCCCAACUUCUGAAUGUUGACCUCGGAUCAGGUAGGAAUACCCGCUGAACUUAAGC